Molecule: ribosomal RNA, 406 nt
Filed under: uncultured bacterium
Lineage: Bacteria
Description: partial 16S ribosomal RNA
Rfam family: Bacterial small subunit ribosomal RNA
Source: RNAcentral
AUUGAACGCUGGCGGCAGGCCUAACACAUGCAAGUCGAGCGGAGCGGCGGACGUGUGAGUAAUGCCUAGGAAUCUGCCUGGUAGUGGGGGAUAACGUCCGGAACCGGGCGCUAAUACCGCAUACUAUCAGAUGAGCCUAGGUCGGAUUAGCUAGUUGGUGGGGUAAAGGCCUACCAAGGCGACGAUCCGUAACUGGUCUGAGAGGAUGAUCAGUCACAUGGGAAUGGGGAAGCGGUCCAGACGCCUAGGGGAGGCAGCGGUGGGGAAUAUUGGACAAUGGGCGAAAGCCUGAUCCAGCCAUGCCGCGUGUGUGAAGAAGGUCUUCGGAUUGUAAAGCACUUUAAGUUGGGAGGCGUUACCAAAAGAAUAAGCACCGGCUAAAUUCGUGCCAGCAGCGCGGUAAUAC